UUUUGUGUUGUUGUUUUUUUUAUUUUUUUGGCGUUUACGUAACCCACAAUGUCUCAGAACUGCAAAUCUUCGUACACAACCGCGACCACGAGAGACGCGAAUAACAACACCCUGUACCACGGGGGCAGCGGCCAGGGGUACGGGGGGAGGGGCUACUCACCCCCCAGCGUGACCAGCAAUGGAAACUAUCAGCAAAUGACAGCGAAAGUACUGUUUGGCAGCGUCACGACGAUCAAUGACCUCAAGCGGCAGGACAAGACGGAGAGGGAUGCGCGGCGGACGCACUAGCGACAUCUAGACUCAGGCGCUGAAUAUGUGAUAAGAAAAUAUGGGAAGCUACGGAGUGAUCUCGGAAGACAGAGUUUAUUGUUCAUAAUAAAUAAUAAUAUUAAUAUUUUUUAUAUAAAUUUUAUAUUAUAAAAUAAGAAAUGCAAUUUUUAAGUAACACGAAUCAUUAUAGAUUAGCUAAUAACAAAACAAUUUUACAGUGACAUCUGUUGACACAAACUGUCAAUUAGUUGUUAAAAACAAUGAUUUAUUUUAGUAAGAUAGUUUUUAACAGAGUUAUUAUGAAUGUGAGUACCUACAAAAGCCAUGAGAAAUUAAAAUGAUUCCUAACGAUACCCGCCUCCUUAUGAAUUUAAACAAAAUUAAUUGAUCUAUAUUUUCUAAAUAUCAUAAGAAUUGUAAUGAGAUUGAUAAUUACUAGGUACUUGUUAAAUAAAAAUAAAGGUUGUACUUAAAGAUUGGUCA
Molecule: long non-coding RNA, 753 nt
Organism: Trichoplusia ni (cabbage looper)
Lineage: Eukaryota; Metazoa; Arthropoda; Insecta; Lepidoptera; Noctuidae
Exons: 4
Source: RefSeq, a predicted model, not a curated record